AUGGAGGCGUGGCUGCGCGUAGAGGCGCACGGUGGCGUCAGACGGAGGCGUUCACGACGACGGUCGACGACGAGCCGUGUCAAGAUUAAGAGGGAAAUUAUUGGCUCUAAUCUUGACGUGUGCGCUCGUGGCCGGAUCGUGCAGAGCUGGCCUGAUGUGGACGUUGGAGGUCGCGCAAAUGCUGGUCGUGGGCAUCGUCACGGUGAUGGUAUGUGUCGAGCCGAGGGGGAGGGGCCUAAGGAAGAUGUAGUCUUCGCCGGGACCGUGGUAUGCGCCCGGUCGAUGUGA
RNAcentral lists this ribosomal RNA (288 nucleotides) under Triticum aestivum (bread wheat). Its description in RNAcentral is "partial small subunit ribosomal RNA". The record is from RNAcentral. Lineage: Eukaryota; Viridiplantae; Streptophyta; Magnoliopsida; Poales; Poaceae.